GGGGGGCAACCCCUGAGUAGAGUGGCGCACGGGUGAGUAAUACAUCGGAACGUGUCCUGUAGCGGGGGACAACCUCGAGAAAUCGAGGCUAAUACCGCAUACGUCCUACGGGAGAAAGUGGGGGAUUCGAGGGAAACCAAGGGCCUCACACUAUAGGGGCGGCCGAUGUCGGAUUAGCUAGUUGGCGGGGUAAAGGCCCACCAAGGCGACGAUCCGUAGCUGGUCUGAGAGGAUGAUCAGCCACACUGGGACUGAGACACGGCCCAGACUCCUACGGGAGGCAGCAGUGGGGAAUUUUGGACAAUGGGGGCAACCCUGAUCCAGCCAUGCCGCGUGAGUGAAGAAGGCCUUCGGGUUGUAAAGCUCUUUCGGCCGGGACGAAAUCGCAUGGGUGAAUAUCCCGUGUGGAUGACGGUACCGGAGUAAGAAGCACCGGCUAACUACGUGCCAGCAGCCGCGGUAAUACGUAGGGUGCGAGCGUUAAUCGGAAUUACUGGGCGUAAAGCGUGCGCAGGCGGUUUCGUAAGCCAGACGUGAAAUCCCCGGGCUUAACCUGGGAAUGGCGUUUGGGACUGCGAGGCUGGAGUGCGGCAGAGGGGGGUGGAAUUCCACGUGUAGCAGUGAAAUGCGUAGAUAUGUGGAGGAACACCGAUGGCGAAGGCAGCCCCCUGGGCCAGCACUGACGCUCAUGCACGAAAGCGUGGGGAGCAAAC
Molecule: ribosomal RNA, 713 nt
Filed under: uncultured Pseudomonadota bacterium
Lineage: Bacteria; Pseudomonadati; Pseudomonadota
Description: bacterial SSU rRNA
Rfam family: Bacterial small subunit ribosomal RNA
Source: RNAcentral